UGGCAUGUCCUCAUCUCUUUAGGGAUGCUUC
RNAcentral lists this non-coding RNA (31 nucleotides) under Mus musculus (house mouse). Lineage: Eukaryota; Metazoa; Chordata; Mammalia; Rodentia; Muridae. The record is from RNAcentral.